This 1263-nucleotide ribosomal RNA is filed under the name Bacillus licheniformis. RNAcentral describes it as "bacterial SSU rRNA". It matches the Rfam family "Bacterial small subunit ribosomal RNA", at positions 100 to 1349 of the family's 1533-position model. The record is from RNAcentral. Lineage: Bacteria; Bacillati; Bacillota; Bacilli; Caryophanales; Bacillaceae.
UCCCCCCUGAGUACACGUGGGUAACCUGCCUGUAAGACUGGGAUAACUCCGGGAAACCGGGGCUAAUACCGGAUGCUUGAUUGAACCGCAUGGUUCAAUUAUAAAAGGUGGCUUUUAGCUACCACUUACAGAUGGACCCGCGGCGCAUUAGCUAGUUGGUGAGGUAACGGCUCACCAAGGCGACGAUGCGUAGCCGACCUGAGAGGGUGAUCGGCCACACUGGGACUGAGACACGGCCCAGACUCCUACGGGAGGCAGCAGUAGGGAAUCUUCCGCAAUGGACGAAAGUCUGACGGAGCAACGCCGCGUGAGUGAUGAAGGUUUUCGGAUCGUAAAACUCUGUUGUUAGGGAAGAACAAGUACCGUUCGAAUAGGGCGGUACCUUGACGGUACCUAACCAGAAAGCCACGGCUAACUACGUGCCAGCAGCCGCGGUAAUACGUAGGUGGCAAGCGUUGUCCGGAAUUAUUGGGCGUAAAGCGCGCGCAGGCGGUUUCUUAAGUCUGAUGUGAAAGCCCCCGGCUCAACCGGGGAGGGUCAUUGGAAACUGGGGAACUUGAGUGCAGAAGAGGAGAGUGGAAUUCCACGUGUAGCGGUGAAAUGCGUAGAGAUGUGGAGGAACACCAGUGGCGAAGGCGACUCUCUGGUCUGUACUGACGCUGAGGCGCGAAAGCGUGGGGAGCGAACAGGAUUAGAUACCCUGGUAGUCCACGCCGUAAACGAUGAGUGCUAAGUGUUAGAGGGUUUCCGCCCUUUAGUGCUGCAGCAAACGCAUUAAGCACUCCGCCUGGGGAGUACGGUCGCAAGACUGAAACUCAAAGGAAUUGACGGGGGCCCGCACAAGCGGUGGAGCAUGUGGUUUAAUUCGAAGCAACGCGAAGAACCUUACCAGGUCUUGACAUCCUCUGACAACCCUAGAGAUAGGGCUUCCCCUUCGGGGGCAGAGUGACAGGUGGUGCAUGGUUGUCGUCAGCUCGUGUCGUGAGAUGUUGGGUUAAGUCCCGCAACGAGCGCAACCCUUGAUCUUAGUUGCCAGCAUUCAGUUGGGCACUCUAAGGUGACUGCCGGUGACAAACCGGAGGAAGGUGGGGAUGACGUCAAAUCAUCAUGCCCCUUAUGACCUGGGCUACACACGUGCUACAAUGGGCAGAACAAAGGGCAGCGAAGCCGCGAGGCUAAGCCAAUCCCACAAAUCUGUUCUCAAGUUCGGAUCGCAGUCCGCAACUCGACUGCGUGAAGCAGGACCGCGUAGUAACGGUGGGA